Molecule: long non-coding RNA, 1008 nt
Filed under: Triticum aestivum (bread wheat)
Lineage: Eukaryota; Viridiplantae; Streptophyta; Magnoliopsida; Poales; Poaceae
Description: long non-coding RNA (TAES_LNC013454)
Source: RNAcentral
CAAGAUUGAAAAUGGUGUAUCAUGGCGCAACAAUCAUGAUAUCGAUCAAAUGUGAGGCCUCUUUCUAACAAUCAUGUAUGACGGCCAUUUUUUGUUUCUUUACUGUCUACUAUAGCAUCACAUCGCAUAUUUAAAUACGAUGGGACACAUUACAAAACAACCAUAAUGUAUAUCACUGUCCAGCACUUCACUUACUGCAACUUGAUGGUCUACCUUCAUCUUCAUAAAGGGCCCAUUUUUUGCAUGCUAUUAUAGCUUAGAAAGAGCAAUCUCCCCUGCUCUAACUUAUUCUCUUAGUUGUUAGAGUGCAAUUACUUCUACCAUGAGUGAAUAUGUUCCCUUUUCUUCAUUCAUUUUUCUCAAUAUAUACAUGCAGGACUAUGUUUUCUGAAGAAUAUCCAAUAGUAAAGAGGGAUUUGGCAGUUUACUUUACCUGAUACAUCAAUCCCUUGCUCUAGCUGUUGUCUGUAGUGAAAAAGGGAUUAUUUGGCUUUUAGCCAAUGUCUAACCAAUUUAUUAGAGCAACAUAUAUAUUAGCUGGGCCAUCAUACCAAAUUAUUUACGUAUUUGUGCUCUUUUCUAUAGCAACAUAUUUUACUGUGUCUAUAACUACCUCCCUGUUGCCAACAAUAGUCACUAUAGCGCUCUUUUACAUGUUUCUUUCCACACCCUGUUUUGAUUUCUAACUAUCUUCUGACAUAGGGAUGGAUCACAUCACAAGAGAUACAAGACCUGUUCCUGACUUACGAAAGACAAAACUUGAUACUGGUACAUCACUAGGCAGUGUGUUAAACUUUGCUAUUUCAUAUACAUGGAAAAUUUCAUUCAGAUCUGAGUUGCAGUCAUGCCAUGUAUGCAAAGUGGUUUUUUUCUUUAAAUUUCGAAGCACACACAUGUAUUUAUUUUGUACCGUUGCAAUGCACAGGCAUUUUUGCUAGUUUAACUAAUAAAAACAGGGAAUAAAAAAGUGGGGACAGAAAGUAGUGCUUACUAAAUUCAUCAACUUCA